RNAcentral lists this unclassified non-coding RNA (1678 nucleotides) under Hevea brasiliensis (rubber tree). The record is from RNAcentral. Lineage: Eukaryota; Viridiplantae; Streptophyta; Magnoliopsida; Malpighiales; Euphorbiaceae.
GGCUGCUAUUGAGCAGGCUGUUGAGGAUGGUGUUGACAUCAUUAAUCUUUCAGUUGGGCCAAACAGCCCACCAGCAAGUACAAGAACCACAUUUCUAAAUCCUUUCGAUGCUGCCCUUCUUUCGGCUGUCAAAGCAGGAGUGUUUGUUGCACAAGCAGCCGGAAAUGGAGGCCCAUUUCCGAAAACCUUGGUAUCUUUCAGCCCAUGGAUUGCAACCGUUGCUGCUGCAGUUGACGAUCGUAGAUACAAAAACCAUAUGGUCCUCGGAGAUGGGAGAAUGCUACCUGGGCUUGGAUUGUCACCUGCAACACAAUUGAAUAGAACAUACAAGUUAGUCUCUGCGAAUGAUGUGUUGCUGGAUUCCUCUGUUUUAAAGUACAGCCCGCUGGACUGUCAGAGACCGGAACUAUUAAAUAAGAACUUAGUGGAGGGGAAUAUUCUUCUUUGUGGCUACUCCUUCAACUUCGUUUCAGGAACUGCAUCGAUUAAACAGGUUUCUCAAACCGCCAGGAUCCUUGGUGCUGCUGGCUUUGUAGUUGCCGUGGAGAACUCUUACCCCGGAACCAAAUUUGAUCCUGUACCUGUCAGCACACCUGGGAUUCUUAUCAUAGAUACUAGCAAAUCAAAGGAACUUGUAGACUACUACAACUGUUCCACCAAAAGAGAUUGGGCUGGGCGGCCAAUAAGUUUUGGAGCAACAGCUAGCAUUUCAGACGGUUUGGCACCUAUACUUCACAAUUCAGCUCCACAGGUAGCAUUGUUCUCUUCUCGAGGACCAGAUGUAAAGGAUUUCAGCUUUCUCGAUGCCGAUGUUCUUAAACCAGAUAUAUUAGCUCCAGGCUCUCUUAUUUGGGCUGCUUGGUCACCAAAUGGAACAGACGAGGCCAAUUAUGUUGGAGAGGGAUUUGCCAUGGUAUCUGGUACAAGCAUGGCUGCUCCUCAUAUUGCGGGUAUUGCAGCACUCAUAAAACAAAAGCACCCAAAAUGGAGUCCCGCUGCUAUCAAGUCCGCCUUGAUGACAACAGCCACAACACUAGAUCGAACGGGCAGGCCUCUUCAAGCACAGCAAUAUUCUGAGACCGAAACCACGACAUUGGCAGCGGCUACACCGUUCGAUUAUGGCAGUGGUGCUGUUCACCCAGAGGCUGCUUUAGACCCAGGGCUAAUUCUGGACGUGUCCUAUGAUGACUACGUCAAAUUCUUAUGCUCCGUACCCAAUGUCGACCCUCACGAGAUCUUGAACAUCACAAACUCGCCUUGCACCACCAAAGGCCACCCUGCCGACCUUAACAUCCCAUCCAUCACCUUAUCGCAUCUCGAGGGCACACAAACAGUGAAGCGAACCGUCAUGAAUGUCGGUGACGAAACCGAGACCUACGUCAUUGCCACCCGAAUGUCGCCGGAGAUCGCGCUUGAAGCUACGCCUCCAGCAAUCACGGUGGUGCCCGGAGCAUCACGGGAUGUAAUGGUGAGCCUGACUGCCAGGUCGAUAACGGGUAGGUAUGCGUUCGGGGAGGUUCUGCUGAAGGGCAAUAGAGGGCACCAGCUGAGGAUUCCGGUGGUGGCCAUGGGGUUUGAUAGCUAGGGAUAUAAUACAUAUGUUUUGAGUACUUGUAUUAAUAUUAAGGAACCAUAUUAUUCUUUGUAGUAUGUGAAAUAAAAUAUACAGGAGGCUGAG